RNAcentral lists this ribosomal RNA (493 nucleotides) under uncultured bacterium. RNAcentral's name for it is "bacterial SSU rRNA". It matches the Rfam family "Bacterial small subunit ribosomal RNA", at positions 28 to 508 of the family's 1533-position model. The record is from RNAcentral.
GACGAACGCUGGCGGCGCGCCUAACACAUGCAAGUCGAGCGAGAACCAGGCCUUCGGGCCUGGGGACAGCGGCGAACGGGUGAGUAACACGUGAGUAAUCAACCCUCGGCACCGGGAUAGCCCGGGGAAACCCGGAUUAAUACCGGAUGGCCCAUCCGCUUUUCGGAGCGGCUGGAAAAGGUAGCUUCGGCCUCUGGCCGAGGACGAGCUCGCGGCCGAUUAGCUUGUUGGUGGGGUAAUGGCUCACCAAGGCUCCGAUCGGUAGCUGGUCUGAGAGGACGAUCAGCCACACUGGGACUGAGACACGGCCCAGACUCCUACGGGAGGCAGCAGUGGGGAAUCUUGCGCAAUAGGGGAAACCCUGACGCAGCGACGCCGCGUGCGGGAAGAAGGCCUUCGGGUUGUAAACCGCUUUCAGGAGGGACGAAGCUACUCGGGUGAAUAGCCCAGAGGGUGACGGUACCUCCAGAAGAAGCCCCGGCUAACUACGUGC